CAGAUCCACUGUCACUCUCUCUUUUUCUGCUACCUGCAGAUCCAGAUGUGGAAGUCUCAACUCCUCCUGUGCCAUAUCUACCUGCAUGCUGCCAUGCUUCCUGCCAUGAUGAUAAUGGACUAAACCUCUAAAACUAUGCCGUAUCACAUCAACUGUCUGUCUGUGGUGUUGGCAGCUCUUCUAACCAACUGUCUUCCCCUAACAAUCCAUCUCGGUGUCCCCCAGACCUACAUCAGAGACCUUUCAGAACUCCUCCUGUCCUGAAGCUUGGCGACAAGCACCUCUUCCCACGGAGUCAGUUCACAGUUCCCAAGCCUACUCUCUUUUGCCUAAAGUUCUACGGGUGUAGCAGAGGUAACGGAAGGUGAGGCAGAUAGCUGAGGAAGUUUUACAUUUU
Long non-coding RNA from Mastomys coucha (southern multimammate mouse), 397 nucleotides. RefSeq lists it as uncharacterized. The record is from RefSeq and is a predicted model, not a curated record. NCBI's taxonomy places the organism in Eukaryota, Metazoa, Chordata, Mammalia, Rodentia, Muridae. The transcript has 3 exons.